Molecule: ribosomal RNA, 497 nt
Filed under: uncultured bacterium
Lineage: Bacteria
Description: partial 16S ribosomal RNA
Rfam family: Bacterial small subunit ribosomal RNA
Source: RNAcentral
GAUGAACGCUGGCGGCGUGCCUAAUACAUGCAAGUCGAGCGAACAGACGAGGAGCUUGCUCCUCUGACGUUAGCGGCGGACGGGUGAGUAACACGUGGAUAACCUACCUAUAAGACUGGGAUAACUUCGGGAAACCGGAGCUAAUACCGGAUAACAUGUUGAACCGCAUGGUUUAACAGUGAAAGACGGUCUUGCUGUCACUUAUAGAUGGAUCCGCGCCGCAUUAGCUAGUUGGUAAGGUAACGGCUUACCAAGGCAACGAUGCGUAGCCGACCCGAGAGGGUGAUCGGCCACACUGGAACUGAGACACGGUCCAGACUCCUACGGGAGGCAGCAGUAGGGAAUCUUUCGCAAUGGGCGAAAGCCUGACGGAGCAACGCCGCGUGAGUGAAGAAGGUCUUCGGAUCGUAAAACUCUGUUAUUAGGGAAGAACAAAUGUGUAAGUAACUAUGCACGUCUUGACGGUACCUAAUCAGAAAGCCACGGCUAACUACGUG